RNAcentral lists this microRNA precursor (97 nucleotides) under Oryza sativa (Asian cultivated rice). Its description in RNAcentral is "miR814a stem-loop (osa-MIR814a)". Its record names the gene osa-MIR814a. The stretch from base 8 to 90 matches the Rfam family "MIR814 microRNA precursor family". Lineage: Eukaryota; Viridiplantae; Streptophyta; Magnoliopsida; Poales; Poaceae. The record is from miRBase by way of RNAcentral.
ACCUAGUACCGGACGAGACACUUCAUAGUACAACGAAUCUGGACAGUAAGCCUGUCCAGAUUCGUUGUACUAUGAAGUGUCAUAUCCGGUCCUAAGU